AAACUCAAAGGAAUUGACGGGGGCCCGCACAAGCGGCGGAGCAUGUGGCUUAAUUCGAGGCAACGCGAAGAACCUUACCCGGGCUGAACUACGUGGGAAAAGCUGUAGAGAUACGGUGUCCGAAAGGGUCCACGAUAGGCGGUGCAUGGCUGUCGUCAGCUCGUGUCGUGAGAUGUUGGGUUAAGNCCCGCAACGAGCGCAACCCUUGUCCUAUGUUGCCAGCGGGUAAUGCCGGGGACUCGUAGGAGACUGCCGGGGUCAACUCGGAGGAAGGUGGGGAUGACGUCAAGUCAUCAUGCCCCUUACGUCCAGGGCUGCACACAUGCUACAAUGGCCGGUACAAAGGGCUGCUAUCCCGCGAGGGUGAGCGAAUCCCAAAAAGCCGGUCUCAGUUCGGAUCGCAGUCUGCAACUCGACUGCGUGAAGUCGGAGUCGCUAGUAAUCCCGGAUCAGCAACGCCGGGGUGAAUACGUUCCCGGGCCUUGUACACACCGCCCGUCACACCACGAAAGUCGGCAACACCCGAAGCCGGUGGCCCAANNNNNAGGAGGGAGCCGUCGAAGGUGGGGUCGGUGAUUNNNNNNNNGUCGUAACAA
RNAcentral lists this ribosomal RNA (596 nucleotides) under uncultured bacterium. Its description in RNAcentral is "partial 16S ribosomal RNA". It matches the Rfam family "Bacterial small subunit ribosomal RNA", at positions 897 to 1494 of the family's 1533-position model. The record is from RNAcentral.